GCGGCGUGCUUAACACAUGCAAGUCCGACGAGAACGUCCCUUCGGGGAUUAGUAAAGUGGCGCACGGGUGAGUAAUACGUGGGUAACCUGCCUGUAUGACUGGGAUAACAUCUCGAAAGGGGUGCUAAUACCGGAUAACACCACGACACGAAGGUGUUGAGGUAAAAGAUGGCCUCUGCAUAUGCUAUCACAUAUAGAUGGGCCCACGGCCUAUCAGCUUGUUGGUGGGGUAAUGGCCUACCAAGGCUCCGACGGGUAGCCGGCCUGAGAGGGUGAACGUCCACACUGGAACUGAGACACGGUCCAGACUCCUACGGGAGGCAGCAGUGGGGAAUUUUGCGCAAUGGGCGAAAGCCUGACGCAGCAACGCCGCGUGAGGGACGAAGGCCUUCGGGUUGUAAACCUCUUUUAAUCGGGAAGAAACCUUGGCCUGCAAAUAGUGGGUCAAAUUGACGGUACCGGUAGAAUAAGCCACGGCUAACUCUGUGCCAGCAGCCGCGGUAAGACAGAGGUGGGAAGCGUUGUUUGGAUUUAUUGGGCGUAAAGAGCGCGUAGGUGGUCUUAUAAGUCGGGGGUGAAAUUCCGGGGCUCAACCCCGGAACUGCCUCCGAUAUCUGUAAGACUUGAGUGCGGGAGAGGGUAGUGGAAUUCCCAGUGUAGAGGUGAAAUUUGUAGAUAUUGGGAAGAACACCAGUGUCGAAGGCAGCUACCUGGACUGCAAAUGACAAUGAGGCGGGAAAGCGUGGGGAGCAACCAGGAUUAGAUACCCUGGUAGUCCACGCCCUAAACGAUGGGCACUAGGUGUGGGAGGUAUCGACCCCUCCCGUGCCGCAGGUAACGCAUUAAGUGCCCCGC
Molecule: ribosomal RNA, 855 nt
Filed under: uncultured bacterium
Lineage: Bacteria
Description: bacterial SSU rRNA
Rfam family: Bacterial small subunit ribosomal RNA
Source: RNAcentral